RNAcentral lists this ribosomal RNA (253 nucleotides) under uncultured bacterium. RNAcentral's name for it is "partial 16S ribosomal RNA". It matches the Rfam family "Bacterial small subunit ribosomal RNA", at positions 524 to 776 of the family's 1533-position model. The record is from RNAcentral.
UACGGAGGGGGCUAGCGUUGUUCGGAAUCACUGGGCGUAAAGCGCACGUAGGCGGGUCUUUAAGUCAGGGGUGAAAUCCCGGAGCUCAACUCCGGAACUGCCUUUGAUACUGGAGAUCUUGAGUCCGGGAGAGGUGAGUGGAACUCCGAGUGUAGAGGUGAAAUUCGUAGAUAUUCGGAAGAACACCAGUGGCGAAGGCGGCUCACUGGCCCGGUACUGACGCUGAGGUGCGAAAGCGUGGGGAGCAAGCAGG